CUGCCCUUCCUACGGGAGGCAGCAGUAGGGAAUUUUGGACAAUGGGCGCAAGCCUGAUCCAGCCAUGCCGCGUGUGUGAAGAAGGCCUUCGGGUUGUAAAGCACUUUCGGACGGAACGAAAUCGCGCGGGUGAACAAUCCGCGUGGAUGACGGUACCGUAAGAAGAAGCACCGGCUAACUACGUGCCAGCAGCCGCGGUAAUAAGG
This 206-nucleotide ribosomal RNA is filed under the name uncultured beta proteobacterium. RNAcentral's name for it is "partial 16S ribosomal RNA". It matches the Rfam family "Bacterial small subunit ribosomal RNA", at positions 330 to 528 of the family's 1533-position model. Lineage: Bacteria; Pseudomonadati; Pseudomonadota; Betaproteobacteria. The record is from RNAcentral.